GGUGAAAGAGGAACAGCAACUUUCAGAAGGCAGGAUGGAAAUUACAGCUCACUCAGCCAAGUCUGGCUGGUCUCAAGUUUGGAUCCUCCUACUUAUUCCUUCUGAAUAACCUGGAUUACAGCUUCAUUGGUGAUGAAGGACAUUUCAUCAUAUCGACCUGGCAUGUAUAGAACUAUAAACUUACUUAUGAGCUGUAAAAAAUGAGUGGCGAGCGAGAGCAACCAAUACAAACUCAAAGCUUUAUGGGGGGGGGGGGACAGACCUGCCAGGCUGCUUCAAGCAGGAAUGGAGGCAGCAGCCAUGGACAGGUGUGGAUUUAAACACAAUUUCAGAAGACAGUCCCAUAGGUCACUAGGGCAGUCCCAUGGGUCAUUGUGUAGACUAUGGGAAUUUGGGGGUGGGGUCAGUUACAAGCAGAGGUGUUAUGAAGGUGUUAUGUGGACCACAGGAAUUGGGAGGAGAGUCACAUUCUGAGAAGGAGUCUAGUGAGGCUGUUGUAACUGGGGUGGGAAUUUGUAUGUCACUCCAGGAAAACAAUACAACAUUGGGGAAAUAGAAACUUAACAGAUUUUUGUAAACAGGUAGGGACACAAGUCAGCAAGCUGACUCUAAGACCUUAGAUGAACACCAGUUUAGGCUCUGCAAUUUUUAUUUGUUGUGCUUUCAUGUUCAUACAAUCAAUGAUACUAAUAUAUCAUGGGAUUUAUUACAUAAUUUGUGGGUUAGUAUGCAGAAGAUUGGAUUAGUUUAUAAAAUUGGAACCAUUCCCAGACAGCUUUGGCUAACAGUUUCUAUUUUCAUUCUGUUGUAAUCAGGAAACGUAUUCUGAUUUACUUUAAAAAAAAAAAAGUUUCAUGGUCCCAUUUGUUGAGUGUAGCUGGUUAUAAUGUUUUCACAAAUGUCUUAAAUCAAUUAAAUAUCUGCACAUAUCUGCUGCACCCAUAUUUCUUUCUGUUUACAGGCACUGCUAAUUGUUGCACCUUGUAUUAUGACUUCCAUAUUUUCUCCUGAGUUUUGCCAAAUUAAGAGUGAUAUACUUUGUUGGGGUUUCGUUGUUGUUGUUUCGGUUUGGUUUG
This is a long non-coding RNA of Dipodomys ordii (Ord's kangaroo rat), 1076 nucleotides long. RefSeq lists it as uncharacterized. The transcript has 3 exons. Lineage: Eukaryota; Metazoa; Chordata; Mammalia; Rodentia; Heteromyidae. The record is from RefSeq and is a predicted model, not a curated record.